UAAACCUUUUAAGAUAACAACAGCAAAAAAACCCCAGCCUAUCAUAAUACUAUGACAUAAAACACAUCUUUUAAAACCAGUUAUCAAAGAAUAAUGCACUUAUCACUCAGACUGGAGGUGUGUAUGAAAAUCAUACUCGAGUAUUCUCCAGAAGAAUAUGUCUAGACAUUGGAAAUAUAGUUUGUUGGCCUCUCUCAUCAGCUGAAGCCUAAGUAUGAUACACCUGUCAUCAGACAUGGCAGCAAACAUUAGCCUGUGUGAUUCAUUGCUGGUUUUGCUAUAAUUCAGUUAAUGAUGACCAUAUAUAUUUUAAUCAUCUCAUUGAAUUCAGUUUAAUUCAUUCAUAUUAUGUCAAGGAACUGUAACAAUUAUAUUGCAAGAAGAGAGAGAGACAGAGAUGGCAGAGGAAAGUUUCCAGGCAGCAAAUUUUGGAAUUAACUUCUUGUUCCUUAUUCAUUAUUAAUACAAGUAAUUUUAGAACAAAACAUAGGAUGAACUUUUAUUAUUAGUUGCUCAUUACAGCUUGCUAGGGUUGUGUCCAUUUUUAAACAUUUUAUAUUUUUCUGGUUAAUUAAAAAUUUAAAAAUUUAAAAAUAGAUGGGCUAAAUGUGACAAGAUAACUGAACCCCUCACAGUUUUAGCAGUUUACUGAAGGGAAAAGAACCUGAAUGAGUGAAGUUUCCUUCAGUUGUAAAUGUAGGCCUUUAUUUAGAUAUUAAAUUUAGUCAAUGAUAAUAAAAGUAGAAGAUCAACUGGACAGAAUAAGUAGAUGAAUGGCAUAGCUGGAAAACAAUGGUGUUUUUUUUAAACAAGCAUCUUGCAGGUAAGGUAUAGUUGUAAUGAGACACCCUGAAGCUGGUCUGCAGACUGGAUAUCAACACAUAACCACUGAACAGAAAUCUCUCCAUCUGACAGAGUCAGAAAUCUAGGGAGGAAGCCUCCAUCAUAGGCAGAACAAACAGCAAAUUAUGAAUGAGGAAAAAACCCCUCAGCAUAAAUCAUAUCAGUGGUGAAGUGAAUAGAGAUAAGAGGGCUUUUUAAUUCAGACAGCUGGAAAAUCUGGAGAAACCUCUGAACAAUAACAAGCCCAUGGGGAAAGGAGGGACAGGAGACCAGGGAAGUGAGUUUAAGAGACACUGAUUUUCAGAUGCAUCAUUAGGUCUUAGAAAUUUUUACUGGCUAAAGAGCUCUUGAACAAUAUCCUGUGACACAAAGGAAAGAUUAGGAAGUCAUUCAUGGCUUUAUUUUACAAAAAAACAGUUGAGGUGCAUCCACUUUUGCCAUAUUGCUGUGAAGUUUAGCACCUGAGAAAAUCAGAUAACCGAGUUCAGAGUUGAAUGUGAAAAACAAACCUUCACUGAAAUAGGCAGUAUUACUCAUUUCCUAUGAAAGUCUUCUUUAAAUAUAAGGGAAUUAAUGUUACAGAAGAUUGUCUGUGUUGAUUUGUAGUUGACCUUUUUUUGCUCCCUUUUGCUGCUCAUUCUGAUGCUGGCCUGUGCUCUACCAGUGUUCUGAGUCUCACCUGCCAAUUUUUUUUUUUUUCCACUUCUGAAGCUCUCCUUCCUCACCUUCCAAGCAUAAUACAUCCUCUUAAUUUUCACAAAGCUAGUGUGUUGUCUGCAUUCAAGCCUCUCAUGUCAGAAUCUAUUUAACACCUAUGCAAAAAAAUAUUUUACAAUAAAUAGUUCUACUAACAGACAGGUGUCAUUGUUCCCCAGAAGCCAAUUAAAGCAUGAAGAUAAUGUCAAUAUGUAUUGAGCCCCAUUUUCAUUAGUAUAAUCCAUGUUAUACUUCUGUGAGACUGAAAUAAAAACUUUGCAGUUAGAAUUUACACCUGCACUCCAGUCACACAAAUUUAAUCCUCAUAAACUCUGAUCUAAAGUACUGUUAAGAGGGGAAUCUUUAGAAAGAAACCUAAAAAUGUUUAGCAUAGUUGAUAUACACUUACUCUGGAUGGACAUUUGACCUACUCAUUUCUUUGCCCUGCCUGCCUCCUUCCCUCCUCCUCUGGCUCCCAGCCCCUAGGAACAGUAAAGUUGCACCCAGAGAAUGCUGUUAUAAUAAUUACUGACUGCCCUGUCCUCAAAGGAGCGAAGUAAUUUGUGUGCAGUGCUGCUACCUUGAUUCAGAUCAAGGAAGCUCAGUGCCUUCCCAUCAAACAUUUUGCUAUUUCAAAUGUUUAAGUAAUGACUGCACGCAUAUGAAAUCCUAAAAACACUACACCAGAUUUGCAGUAAGUUGGCAGGAAUAAUAAUACAUAUUGUAGCUUGUACUCUUUUAAUAUUUAGCAGGCAUACAACAUGUGUGCAAUAUAGUACAAAAUCCGCCAUCCUAGCACAAAUAACAACAGAGUGAAAAAAAAGUAAAAGUUUUGCAAGAGCUACUUUCUCCUGAACUCAAGUACUCCAUCAUGGGCUUGACCUAAAUUGUGAAGCUAAUGGAGAGGAUUCUGGACACUCUCCAGAAUCUUCAGAUAAAUUAAAUAUGAACAUGAAUAGUGCCCAGGGGCCCUGCAUUCUCUGGGAUGCCACAGGCAUGGGACUCGCAGAGAAUCCACCCUUGCUGCAGAACCGUGUUUCCAGAUUUUAAUUAACUGAGUUUCCUCUGUUAAGCUUUUCCUGUGAAAGCCUCCCACAGCAAAAACACAUCUUAAAAGCAUUAUGCCUCGGCAGAUGAAAAUAAAUCUAGCUGUUGAAUUUUCAAAAACUUUAUUUGAAAGAACAUAUUUUCAAGGACUAAGAUCACUCAUUCCAGAUACAUGGUUCAUGAACUCAAAACCAUCACGUCCAAGUACUGCAUGUUCUCAUCUUUCCUAACUGCCAUAUGCUACUAAGUCAUUUCAUUUUAUAUGCAGCCUCAUGGCUCCAGGCUUCAUGGGCAGAUGGCUCUUUGCCACCUAAUCAAAUUCACACAUCAAGGGCAUCCCAAGUGAGGUCCUUUGUAGAACUGUAUCCUCCUUUAGUUCCUCUCUCUUUCCUAAACAUUUGCACAUCAGCACAAACUUGUACUACCAAAAGGUUCAUAAUUUUCAGAUAUAAGACACUCAUUCUUCAAUUAAGCACAACAUAGUACAAGCAGUUCUAUCCCAUUCACUCUAAAAAUACAAUUCAGUGCCUUGGAAUUUCACAGCAUACCCACACAGUCCUUAAUAUCCCUUUUGCUUCUAUUUUCGGUCUUUCCUUCUUCCAUAGCUGCAUCUGUUCAUUGGGCAGAAUGUGUCUAUGUCCUCUGCCACCACAUACGAAGUUAUAAUAAUGCAUCUUAACCCCUGCAACCAAGUGACAGUUCUUGCGCUACUGCACCAAGCUUGAUGCAGUAUCUAGAUUUGGAUGCCUUCUAAUUUUCUUUAACUGCAUAUUGAUAAAAAUGAAUUUUCAUGGAUCAGCUCAUCUUAACAUAGGCUUGUGGCUGUUGCCUUUGAUGGAUUCAUAAUCUCAGAGUUGCAUUUGAUUCUCUGGAGCAUCCUAUUAGUAAGACAGGAAAGUUCUCAUAUUAAUAACUGUGGUACUUCUUCAAGCCACAGUGACCUACAUUGCCUCACUGGGUUGGUUAGAUUUUUCAAAUAGGCUUUUAUCACAUUUUAUUGCCACAAUUUCUGUAACUCUUUACUCUCUGUGUUACUGAUCACAUCUAUUAAAUACUUGUAUAAGCACACAUGUUGUGUAACUGAAUGCACAGCAGGGUCAGGCACUGAUGAAACAUUAUUUCACAAACGUGUACAUUUUUUCAACUUAAAAUAUAUUGCUUUCUUUUACAUACAGAAUCUCCUCCUCUUAUCCCUUCUAGGAUACGUUUUACAGACCCAGGAUGGACACAAGAAACAAGGUCAUCUACAUAGAGAGUGACUAAACCCUCCACUUGUACCUUUUCCUCUAAAGAAGGAACAGUAUAGUAAUUUUUAAUACUGCCAUUAACAGCUACAGAAAAAACUCACCCUGUUAAGAUAAACAAAGUUGUUUAGUAUGAACAUUUUAAGGACACCUAAACCCAGUUUUGUAAUCUAUAUUAAAAAUAAGCGAUCAGCUAUCCAAUACCAUUUAUUUUAAGAUAACAUAUCUGGAAGAGUGUUACUUGAAAUAUUUUUAUAGAUGAGCAAUGGUGGAAUUGUGAUGGUACAUACCAUAUUGAUACUGCAGAGGCCAAAUAGAACAGAAAACAGAAAUGAAGAGGUCUCUAUACUAGUUACUUCCAAAUGUUCAUAGUAGCACUUAAUAAAUCCCAUUUUUCAAUAUCAUGUCUUACAUCUAGCUUUUCUAAGCAAUUUAAUGUUAUGUACCUCAAAAGGCUACAGCCAAACAGCACGCACAGCUCACCUUCUCAUGCUACAGUAAGUCAUCUCUGAAGAUCAAAAAAGGGCUAUCCCAGAGAAUACAGUGACCCAGAAGCCAAAGAUAAACUGUUUACAAUUUGUUCCAGACAUCACCUAUUUAGUUGCACAGAGUUCCUUAUAUUUACAGCCCCUUCUAUCGCUCUGCUGAGAGUAGUAACCUGAAUAUGCCAACAUAGUGGGAGCCUGCUAAACAUGGACUAAAUUUACUCCAAUAUCUUACAGCUGCAAUGGUUUAACAAGUGCUGCACAAGCACAGUGAAUAAUCCCAUUUAUAAUCAGUUAAGGUAAUCAUCCUUAUCCUCCUUCAAUAGACCCUUCUUCCCCAAGGACAGAUAACUCAUCUUGAGACACUACUCAGUUAUCCAUUUCAAUAGACAAGAGGUCUCAUGUCCCAGAAAGCACUACCUUGAUAACUUUCAAGCUGUUUUGAAAAUAUGACAGACAAAAUCUAGUAAAUGGAUGUUUAAAGAAAGAUCCAAGUUUUUGACAUUAUUUAAAAAAAACCCAAAACAAAUCUGUCUGCCACAAUGUCAUUUUCACUAUGAUCAGAGCCACGUUAUUUAUACUCUAAAACUAGUAUUUGGCUUGCUAGCCUAAGCUAGGUCCUCAAAGUACUAAAAAUACCCUGCAAACCAACACAAAAAACCCCCACCCACAAACCCCUGUGGUUUUUGUAACAAAACCAGGAAGAUGUUCUACAAGGCAUUUUUUAAUUCUUGUUUCUUUUGAUAACAUGCCUACAUCACCUCAUCUAUCUGGUCCAGAGCCAUGCAGCCACCAAAGCUGUUUUCUGCAUCGUGAGAUGGUGCUUUAAGAUACCAAACUCUGACAGAAGCACCACUCUGUUGCUCAAGCUUUGAAAACUAAUUGCACCCUAUUGGCCUGAUCUAAAUUAGGAGCCUAGUUAACGCUCCACUUAGUGCUGAUUGGGCUCGGAUGGAAACCUGAAGCCAUGCUGCUUGGAGUUAGGUGACAAGUUUUCAGCUUUUUCCAGAAUGAGGCAGCUGCAUCAGGGGGUGCUGCAGACAACAAUUUUGGAUUUAAGCAAGCAGAACAGUAUCACCUGCCUCAAGUGAUAAUGUUUGGAACAAAAGAUCAUGGAGGAACACCACUGGGUGAGUUGUAGUAGUCUGGACUGAGGUACUGCUUCAUGCCAACAAAAGCAAAUCCUACAGGGAAAGCAGCGAGGCAGAAGCAGUGGAGUAGAAAGAUAUAUCCACACGCUUCAGCUACUGGAACUCUUGGAAAAGUACUGUAUUGGGUCUGACAAGACACCAGUAGCAAAUAUGAAACAGUAAAGUAUAAGAAUAAAACAUUCCUAGACUGUUAAUAUUUGAAUAUCUUACAGUUAGGGGUAGUCAGUAAUUUAGGAUAUUUCUGAGUGGACACUGUAUUUAAACUAACGUUUUUAAAUAUCACAUUUCACAUAUAAGUCUAAUCCUUUUGAUCCUAUGACCCUGAUAAAAGUUUCAUAGCAGUGAGUUCCACUACUACAUUACACAGUGUAAUGAAAUGUUUGAAACUUGCUGCAUGAUCACUUCAUUGAAUUCUUAAUUUUUAUAAGCUAUCAAACAUUCCCAAAUCAGUGUUAUGGACAAAGUCAAACUGGUCCUCUGUCACAUUUAUUUAUUUAUUUAUUUUUAA
Molecule: long non-coding RNA, 5974 nt
Organism: Athene cunicularia (burrowing owl)
Lineage: Eukaryota; Metazoa; Chordata; Aves; Strigiformes; Strigidae
Exons: 2
Source: RefSeq, a predicted model, not a curated record